ACUCCUACGGGAGGCAGCAGUGGGAAUAUUGCACAAUGGGGGGAACCCUGAUGCAGCCAUGCCGCGUGUGUGAAGAAGGCCUUCGGGUUGUAAAGCACUUUCAGUUGUGAGGAAAGGGAUGUAGUUAAUACCUGCAUUCUGUGACGUUAGCAACAGAAGAAGCACCGGCUAACUCCGUGCCAGCAGCCGCGGUAAUACGGAGGGUGCGAGCGUUAAUCGGAAUUACUGGGCGUAAAGCGUGCGUAGGCGGUUAUAUAAGCUAGAUGUGAAAGCCCGGGGCUUAACCUCGGAACUGCAUUUAGAACUGUAUGACUAGAGUUUUGUAGAGGGUGGUGGAAUUUCCAGUGUAGCGGUGAAAUGCGUAGAGAUUGGAAGGAACAUCAGUGGCGAAGGCGGCCACCUGGACAAAAACUGACGCUGAGGCACGAAAGCGUGGGUAGCAAACAGGAUUAGAUACCCUGGUAGCGACUG
Molecule: ribosomal RNA, 471 nt
Filed under: uncultured bacterium
Lineage: Bacteria
Description: bacterial SSU rRNA
Rfam family: Bacterial small subunit ribosomal RNA
Source: RNAcentral